AGUGAACGCUGGCGGUAGGCCUAACACAUGCAAGUCGAACGGCAGCACAGUAAGAGCUUGCUCUUACGGGUGGCGAGUGGCGGACGGGUGAGGAAUACAUCGGAAUCUACUUUUUCGUGGGGGGUAACGUAGGGAAACUUACGCUAAUACCGCAUACGACCUACGGGUGAAAGCAGGGGAUCUUCGGACCUUGCGCGAUUGAAUGAGCCGAUGUCGGAUUAGCUAGUUGGCGGGGUAAAGGCCCACCAAGGCGACGAUCCGUAGCUGGUCUGAGAGGAUGAUCAGCCACACUGGAACUGAGACACGGUCCAGACUCCUACGGGAGGCAGCAGUGGGGAAUAUUGGACAAUGGGCGCAAGCCUGAUCCAGCCGUACCGCGUGGGUGAAGAAGGCCUUCGGGUUGUAAAGCCCUUUUGUUGGGAAAGAAAAGCAGCAGGUUAAUACCCCGCUGUUCUGACGGUACCCAAAGAAUAAGCACCGGCUAACUUCGUG
RNAcentral lists this ribosomal RNA (492 nucleotides) under uncultured bacterium. RNAcentral's name for it is "partial 16S ribosomal RNA". It matches the Rfam family "Bacterial small subunit ribosomal RNA", at positions 29 to 507 of the family's 1533-position model. The record is from RNAcentral.